Long non-coding RNA from Bos taurus (domestic cattle), 1442 nucleotides. Lineage: Eukaryota; Metazoa; Chordata; Mammalia; Artiodactyla; Bovidae. The record is from Ensembl.
GACUUUUUAACAGAAAUUUUAUUGGAAGAAUUUUGAUAACAAUCAUUUAUUAUUAUUUUUAAAUAUAUCUGAGGUUAAACAAAAUACAUGAAUGUCUUCAAGUAGAAAAAAGUGAAAUACACAUUUGGAAUUUGUUGUUCUUAGGCAAAUCAAAAUUGCUCACUCUAGUAUAUUCAAACCAAAUUACAAUAUAGUCUUUGACAUUCCAACCUAGCCUUGUGCUCAAAUGUUUAUUUAGAAAUGUUUUGAUGAUGUACUCUUCACCAAAGGAAUCAAACCCAAAUCAAACUUGGCCAUAUGUUUAAACCAUUAAAGACAGGGAGGUAAAGUGUUGUAGGGGUAUUUAAAAUAUACCAAGAAGGGAUUUGGCAGCUUUUCAUUCACAGUAUUUCUGAUAUAGAAGACUCAUUCUGUUUGUUGAUCAGACUCACAAAUGUUGGGGCAAAAUAUCACUUGGGCAGAUAUAUCACUAAAUUUGUUGCUGUUAGAGGAAGCGAUGAGACUACACAACAAGCUCUUGACAGGAUAUGUUUAGUUCAAAACAGAAUACUGAGUCUAACUGACAUAUGAUACAUAAAAUUCAUAUACAUUCAAAACAAAGAUUUUUAAGAGAAGUUUUACAUUGGCAGCAGUAAUGAAAAGAGACAAAAUAAGAAACAGAAGCUCUACCAAAAUUUAGUAUUUAGAGGGGCAAAAGAAGAUAUAAACUACCGUAGGAAUAUUUAAAUCAGUUCAUGAAUACAUGUAGUGUUGCUUUUAUAGAAGCACUUUGAAGAUAGACAUUUGAAAGAGUUUUGGAUGAAAAUGCAUCUGGGAUAAAUGAAAUAGAAUGUUAUACACAGGCCCUUAAAGUGUUGGAUAAUAGGAAUAUGGCAAUUUCCUAUAAAAAGAGAGACUGUGGUUUCUCAUUCAAAAUACACAAAAUACAAACUCAGGUGAUCCAGGCUCCACUGUCCCAGUUCUACCAAAUUGCUGUCCUAACACAGCUUGCAAAAUGGAAAACAUCUCUGUAUUCCCACUGUUCCUGUAUUAAAAUGAAGGAGUAGCUUACAGGGUGACUUUAAAAAAAAAAAAAAAAAGGCCAUAGUGAAUAUAAAGUCACUUAUCAGUGCAAAAAUGCCAAAGAAAAGUUAAGAUGUCUUCUGUAAUAAACAGUAAAUUACUGGUUUUACCUUACUUGUGUAUCCACUGCUGCCUACAAUAGUUACUCACUGGUUAACCAAACAUUUAACUGAACAUGUAAGUGUAAAUUCAUACUAAAUUUGGUGAUAAUAGGAUGUAUGAGACAAAGACAUUCUUUUUUUUUACAGACUUUCCACCAUGAUCAAAGUUACAAAUAUUAAAAUUUUCAAAGCCAUGGGAAGAGUUCACAGUUAAAUAUUAAGUUUAAGCAUAGAUUAAUACUAAUUAUGAAAUAUAUUUCUUCCUUUUGAAGAGCUAUA